Non-coding RNA from Vicia faba (fava bean), 339 nucleotides. Lineage: Eukaryota; Viridiplantae; Streptophyta; Magnoliopsida; Fabales; Fabaceae. The record is from the annotation of a GenBank genome assembly.
UAUAAUAAGAAUAUUCUAUUUUCUAGAAUUGGAUCGAACAAGUUAGAUCAAAGAAUCUUUAUUGUAAUCAUUACAUGUUAUGGUAUAAUCUGGGGUUUAAUUGGACCAAGCACCAAGCACCAAGCACAUGUGGUGUUAAGUCUUUGGAUAUAUAGCUUCCUAAUAACUCAAUCCUCUAUCAGCCAGCACCAUUCUAACUCUCUUCAUAUCUCAUCUAACUGCAUUUUCAUAUCUUAUCUAACUGCAUUUUCAUAUCCUCAUAAAAAGUACACGGUUAUGUUCAUUACUAUUUGUCUGGCUCUGACUCAAAAAGCUUGUUUGCAGCAAUCUUCCAUAUAA